Molecule: ribosomal RNA, 430 nt
Filed under: Aeromonas hydrophila
Lineage: Bacteria; Pseudomonadati; Pseudomonadota; Gammaproteobacteria; Aeromonadales; Aeromonadaceae
Description: bacterial SSU rRNA
Rfam family: Bacterial small subunit ribosomal RNA
Source: RNAcentral
AGUUUGAUCAUGGCUCAGAUUGAACGCUGGCGGCAGGCCUAACACAUGCAAGUCGAGCGGCAGCGGGAAAGUAGCUUGCUACUUUUGCCGGCGAGCGGCGGACGGGUGAGUAAUGCCUGGGAAAUUGCCCAGUCGAGGGGGAUAACAGUUGGAAACGACUGCUAAUACCGCAUACGCCCUACGGGGGAAAGCAGGGGACCUUCGGGCCUUGCGCGAUUGGAUAUGCCCAGGUGGGAUUAGCUAGUUGGUGAGGUAAUGGCUCACCAAGGCGACGAUCCCUAGCUGGUCUGAGAGGAUGAUCAGCCACACUGGAACUGAGACACGGUCCAGACUCCUACGGGAGGCAGCAGUGGGGAAUAUUGCACAAUGGGGGAAACCCUGAUGCAGCCAUGCCGCGUGUGUGAAGAAGGCCUUCGGGUUGUAAAGCACU